CCUACGGGGGGCAGCAGUGAGGAAUAUUGGUCAAUGGGCUUACGCCUGAACCAGCCAAGUCGCGUGAGGGAAGACUGCCCUAUGGGUUGUAAACCUCUUUUGUCAGGGAGCAACGCCGGCUACGUGUAGCCGGACUGAGAGUACCUGAAGAAAAAGCAUCGGCUAACUCCGUGCCAGCAGCCGCGGUAAUACGGAGGAUGCGAGCGUUAUCCGGAUUUAUUGGGUUUAAAGGGCGUGUAGGCGGGCUUGCAAGUCAGAAGUGAAAUCUGGGGGCUUAACCCCCAAACUGCUUUUGAAACUGUGGGUCUUGAGUGAUGGAGAGGCAGGCGGAAUUCCCAGUGUAGCGGUGAAAUGCGUAGAUAUUGGGAGGAACACCAGUGGCGAAGGCGGCCUGCUGGACAUUAACUGACGCUGAGGCGCGAAAGCGUGGGGAGCAAACAGGAUUAGAUACCCUUGUAGUC
This 461-nucleotide ribosomal RNA is filed under the name uncultured bacterium. RNAcentral describes it as "partial 16S ribosomal RNA". It matches the Rfam family "Bacterial small subunit ribosomal RNA", at positions 338 to 795 of the family's 1533-position model. The record is from RNAcentral.